UACGUAGGGGGCAAGCGUUAUCCGGAAUUACUGGGUGUAAAGGGUGAGUAGGCGGCAUGGUAAGCCAGAUGUGAAAGCCUUGGGCUUAACCCGAGGAUUGCAUUUGGAACUAUCAAGCUAGAGUACAGGAGAGGAAAGCGGAAUUCCUAGUGUAGCGGUGAAAUGCGUAGAUAUUAGGAAGAACACCAGUGGCGAAGGCGGCUUUCUGGACUGAAACUGACGCUGAGGCGCGAAAGCGUGGGGAGCGAACAGG
RNAcentral lists this ribosomal RNA (253 nucleotides) under uncultured bacterium. RNAcentral describes it as "partial 16S ribosomal RNA". It matches the Rfam family "Bacterial small subunit ribosomal RNA", at positions 524 to 776 of the family's 1533-position model. The record is from RNAcentral.